CGUGGAGCUGGUGAAAUAGAGGUUAUGAUGGUACCAGUGCUGGGAGGCGCAACCAGCACCGUCUGUGACUUUGUGCCCUCCUGCUGCCGAUGGCUUAUGUGAAUGUCGCGGACAAACUGUGGCUCUGUCUGCCAUCGCUGCUGCUGCUGCCUCUCAUACUCCUCCUUUAUGUGCUCCUCCUCCACGGUCUUCAUGUCCCUCAGCACCUGCUGCCAGGAAUCUCGGGCUGAGAUCCUGUUCCACCAGUUUUGCACAUUCUUCCUUGAGUCAUACAGGUAGGCAAAUCUCUCGGAUGUAAUGACAUGGUGGGUACCAGGCAGAUGAACAAGGUCGGCAAGAGUGAACUUGUUCCCAGCAAGUGGGAAGGCGAUAUGGCAGAACAAUGCCCGGCUUGGAGGGUCGAAGGCAUGCUCCUCAUUCCGGAGCCAUUGUUCAAUGGAAGCCCUCUCAAGGACAUCCUUUCCCAGAAGGAAAGGAUACCCCUGAUGCUCAUAGGUCUCUGCUAGAUAGCGGCAGAUUGCUCUUGAAUCUGCAGUUUAUGGGACAGUUAUUCACUUGGACAACAAACAUAUGAUUCUAGUAUGUGCAUGUGUGGCUUGCAAAAUACUAUGUCACUGUAACUAUGCAACCCAAUCGUUACACAACAAGCUAGGGGCAUUACCUUGCAGAAACAGGGGACCAUCAUAGAAUGGAACCGGAACACUUCUUGAUGCCUGCAGAGACAAAUGAACAUGAUACAAACUUUAGAUGAGGGUUGAGUUGUUCUAAGCCAAACAAACUGCUGCUUCUACUAUUUGGGUGUUGCAAAGGACAUUGGGACAUAUACCUGGAGGCUGAGUAUGUCCUUGUAAGAGGCUUUGAUUGUCUCAAACUUGACAUUUUUCUCAUACAGGCAUGUGAGCACCCUUGACACAUCUGGUAGGAUCAUGGACUUCUCAUGGUACACAUUCACCACGGGAGGCCCUGCUCCAGUGCUAAGGCUUGCCAUGGAGGCAAGAGCUCAGGCUCACUGGUUGGAAGAACUGAAGUUAAUGGUGUGCAAGCGUGGUGACCCAACCGUCAUUGUUUUAAUAUUAGAAGGUUCUGUUCGUGCCUGCCUGAGGAAGCAAAGAGAAGAUGCUUAAAGUGUGGUUGAGGGAGAAGCAGGACUAGAAAUAGAUAAAAGGGAAAAGGAAAAAGAAAAGAGGAGAAAAGCAAAAGGUAAAGUUACCUACAUCUGGAGGAUUUGGAUUGUGGAUGAUCUUAUUUAUAACUUCAUGCCAUAAGUUUAUAUGUGGGGAAUUUUGAUUGUGGGCGAUGUUUAAAGGGAAAGAGCAAAAGAAGCCUAUUUGCCAAGGAACUGGGAUCAGCUGAGCUCUAUGUGGCUUUAUUCAUUCUGCACAAUUGCUCAGCUAAGUGACUUUAUUCAUUCCUUGCCGCUUUGAUCAAAGGAGAUGCAAAUUGCUGGUAGGGAAGCACACAGGUUCUGCCUAAGAAGGCAAGCUUAGCAUCAGACCUGAUGUCCCCUACACGUACCGGCGUACCAGCAGACAAACUGGAUGGGUGAUGGACGCCCUGAGUUUCCUAGGCUUUUACCAUGCAGAGAAACUUCUUUCGAAAAAAUAGCUUGUCCCCAGGGAUAGGAGCAAUAUUGAGAUUUACAUGUAGCGUGAUUAUAUUGUCUACUUUUACCCUGCAUCAAGUUCUUCCAUUGGAAUUACUCACCUAGCAAGGCUGUGGGCACCCUUGUUUGCUUUGCAUUCAUAUAAAUGAUUUCUUGAUACAGCGUAUCGAUUUGAGCUCCAUUUGAGUAAUCUGCUUUGAAGAUCUCUUGCACGCAGUCCCUGCACAGGAUAGGAUUAUCAUGAAGCAUAGAGGCUGCAAGCCCUGCAAGUAGUGUGGUCCUGCAAAGCAAACAGGCAGAGCAUGAAAGGAAGUGCUUCAGUUCGUAAUAAGGAAUACUCCUAAAUCUUAAUGCGUUCGCGCUAGUUAGUAGUUAUAAUGUUUAUUGGGCAAACCUUCUGAAACUUGGCGAUUGAAGAGAAAGAACUCCAGAUCUGCUUUUCAA
Molecule: long non-coding RNA, 2047 nt
Organism: Setaria italica (foxtail millet)
Lineage: Eukaryota; Viridiplantae; Streptophyta; Magnoliopsida; Poales; Poaceae
Exons: 3
Source: RefSeq, a predicted model, not a curated record